CGUAGUCUCAACCUUACUCUCAAACGUCUUGAGUGGGACACGCACUAGUGUCAAAACUUAAUUUUAAUGUGCGCGCACCAACCUUCCCCAAGCCAGUCGAGCUCUGUGAGGGCGGGGACUUGGGCAAAAUCAAAAAUCACAAAACGCCAAGCAAGAUACUGAACACAGCAGGCUCACGCUAAAGACAAAUAUGAAGGGUCUUUCUGCAAUAACUACACCAAAUUUUUAUCUAAACUAAAUCAGUCUCUUUAGCAUACCCGCUCACAACUCGAACCACUUCCUACCCACGCAACGAACUCCGCACCGACUUAGAAAGUCACUCACCCCAGCGCUAGAGAAAAACAAGGAAGUUUAGACGGCGCGCUAGUGACGUCACACGCACGCGGCGGCCCAGGUCUUACGCAUGCGUACACGGUCUCUAGGGCUAAACUUACUGCUCCCAGGCCGUGGAGGACGAACUGCAUGCAUGAUGAUGGUUCCUAGGCCUAAGGUUUCUCUGCAGAGGUGGAGAAGAAAGAAAUUAAAGACGAUCCAUCAAAAAGCUAGAAGGAAUGGAAAAGUCAACAUCACAGAGUUCCCUUGCUGAACACUGAAGGGGACCAUUUUGAGAGAGAAGAUUCAGAGAUCACUGACCACUUCAGAUCAUGAGCAAAUCUGUCAGAGCAGCACAUUUCCAAAGUGGUUGGUGCCAUCCAGUGGAAAAUUAACUUCUGUGUUAGACAUCAGGCUCAAGUGUGU
RNAcentral lists this long non-coding RNA (738 nucleotides) under Ailuropoda melanoleuca (giant panda). Its description in RNAcentral is "lncRNA (ENSAMEG00000031497.1)". Lineage: Eukaryota; Metazoa; Chordata; Mammalia; Carnivora; Ursidae. The record is from RNAcentral.